Molecule: ribosomal RNA, 440 nt
Filed under: uncultured bacterium
Lineage: Bacteria
Description: partial 16S ribosomal RNA
Rfam family: Bacterial small subunit ribosomal RNA
Source: RNAcentral
CCUACGGGUGGCAGCAGUAGGGAAUAUUGCUCAAUGGGGGCAACCCUGAAGCAGCUACGCCGCGUGUAGGAUGACGGCCCUCGGAUUGUAAACCCCUUUUGUUAGAGAAGAUAAUGACGGUACCUAUCGAAUAAGCACCGGCUAACUCCGUGCCAGCAGCCGCGGUAAUACGGAGGGUGCAAGCGUUACUCGGAAUCACUGGGCGUAAAGGGCGCGUAGGUGGGAUAGCAAGACAGAUGUGAAAUCCUCUGGCUUAACCAUAGAACUGCAUUUGAAACUGUUAUUCUAGAGUGUGGGAGAGGUAGGUGGAAUUCUUGGUGUAGGGGUGAAAUGCGUAGAGAUCAAGAAGAAUACUGAUUGCGAAGGCAGCCUGCUAGAACACAACUGACGCUGAUGCGCGAAAGCGUGGGGAGCAAACAGGAUUAGAUACCCGAGUAGUC